UUUCUCCAUGGGGACAGAAGCGCUGGCAUGGUAACAGACAGGCAGUAGCCUUUUAAACUAGUUUGUAUGUCCACAUCCUACAACUCAUUAUGGAAAACUAUGCAAAAGGAGUGGGUUAUGAAGUUACAAGAGUGUGGAAUUAAAGCCUGGAUCCGCCAAGAGGUCCGUAAAGGUUAGGAGAGCCACCACCAACCCUUUUCCUGGAGAUCUACCUUCGUUUGGAGUCUAGUUCCAACCCCAGUCUACCAGACCGGUUCAAGGAGCUUCAGCAGAGAAGAACUGGGUAUCACGGUUGUACGGUUACCUGUGCAUUUUCAAGCUCUGCUGUCCAGUGUGGCCUAGAAGAGGACGGGUUCCCCUUACGAGUCUUGGUUCCUGUCAGUGUUUCGUCCUCAUGCUGUUUUUCCUUGGUGAUGCUUAUCAGGUGCUUGGAUCCAUGUUUCAGUAGAGC
Long non-coding RNA from Pygocentrus nattereri (red-bellied piranha), 451 nucleotides. RefSeq lists it as uncharacterized. The transcript has 3 exons. The record is from RefSeq and is a predicted model, not a curated record. NCBI's taxonomy places the organism in Eukaryota, Metazoa, Chordata, Actinopteri, Characiformes, Serrasalmidae.